CAAUAGCGUAUAUUAAAGUUGUUGCAGUUAGAACGCUCGUAGUCGGAUUUCGGGGCGGGCCGACCGGUCUGCCGAUGGGUAUGCACUGGCCGGCGCGUCCUUCCUCUCGGAGACCGUUCCUACUCUUAACUGAGCGGGAGCGGGAGACGGGACUUUUACUUUGAAAAAAUCAGAGUGUUUCAAGCAGGCAGCUCGCUCUUGCAUGGAUUAGCAUGGGAUAAUGAAAUAGGACUUUGGUGCUAUUUUGUUGGUUUCGAACACCGAAGUAAUGAUGAGAAGGGACAGUCAGGGGCACUCGUAUUCCGCCGAGAGAGGUGAAAUUCUCAGACCAGCGGAAGACGAACCACUGCGAAAGCAUUUGCCAGGGAUGUUUNCACUGA
Molecule: ribosomal RNA, 380 nt
Filed under: uncultured eukaryote
Lineage: Eukaryota
Description: partial 18S ribosomal RNA
Rfam family: Eukaryotic small subunit ribosomal RNA
Source: RNAcentral